AUCUAUAUGCCAUAUGUUUUUAAAGAUAAACUUUAAGUGGAAUUCAAAAAGGCAUUAUUUCAAAGUGGGAUAUUAAUUGUCAUUGUUUGGUUGCAUAGGAGGCAUACAGCACGCAAAAAUAAAGGAAGUGUCGAAAAAAAGCUCUAGGUUUUUGGAUUGCUGUUGCGGUAGAUCAGAACCUGAAAGAUGACGCUCAUGUGUGAUAAAUUUGGAGUGUUGAUGUUGUAUUUUGUGUUGGUUGAGAGUCGUGUGAGUACAUCCAAAAUUUCAAGUUGUCUUAAAAAAAGGAAGGGGAGAGCGAUACCAAUAUACAUACUUCCUGGUGAAUGGGUUAUGUUUAAUUGCAGUGUAAAUCACAACGAUUUAAAUCGAGAAAUUUUACAUGUUGACAACAACCAAAUAAAAAUAUUAAGCAAAAAUGUUUUCAAUGUUACAAACUUGACAAAAUCAGAUAUAUACACCUGCAACCGUUGCCAAGUGCGCUACAAUGUCAUGUCAUGGUUCAAUCAGAAACUCCAUCCUAUCAAGUACCUUUAAUCACAAAAGAACCAGACAAAACAAUAUAUGAUUACAAGGAACGUGUUACAUUGAAUUGCAAGCUUAUUGGCCCUUCAUAUUUAAUAGCAAUUUAUUACAGAAUAUCAUGGAAAAGAAAUGGUAAGAC
This is an RNA transcript of Xenia sp. Carnegie-2017, 664 nucleotides long. RefSeq lists it as uncharacterized. The transcript is spliced from 4 exons. The record is from RefSeq and is a predicted model, not a curated record. Lineage: Eukaryota; Metazoa; Cnidaria; Anthozoa; Malacalcyonacea; Xeniidae.